GGGAGUCUGGCUCUCGAGAUUCGGAGGGCGGUGCCUCUUCGAUUUUGGAGCAAGCAAUCUUGUUGGGAGUGUUGUCUCGAAUGUGAGUAAAGGUUGGGCAUGUUUGCUAGUCUACCUUGCCACGAAGCACAAAGGUUGAUACACAGGGACUUUCCAAUUAUCCAGCAAUGGUACUGUUCCUUUACCCUCUCUUCGAUUUUGAGAAAGUAGUCGUGUUGGGAGUCUGGCUCUCGAGAUUCGGAGGACGGUGCCUCUUCG
RNAcentral lists this long non-coding RNA (258 nucleotides) under Malus domestica (apple). RNAcentral's name for it is "long non-coding RNA (MDOM_LNC015089)". Lineage: Eukaryota; Viridiplantae; Streptophyta; Magnoliopsida; Rosales; Rosaceae. The record is from RNAcentral.